This 234-nucleotide ribosomal RNA is filed under the name uncultured bacterium. Its description in RNAcentral is "partial 16S ribosomal RNA". The record is from RNAcentral.
UAAUCCGACCUAGGCUCAUCCAUUAGCGCGAGGUCUUGCGAUCCCCCGCUUUCCUCCGUAGAGCGUAUGCGGUAUUAGCGUUCGUUUCCGAACGGUAUCCCCCACUACCAGGCAGAUUCCUAGGCAUUACUCACCCGUCCGCCGCUCUCAAGAGAAGCAAGCUUCUCUCUACCGCUCGACCUGCAUGCGUUAGGCAUGCCGCCAGCGUUCAAUCUGAGCCAGGAUCAAACUCUA